This 497-nucleotide ribosomal RNA is filed under the name uncultured bacterium. RNAcentral's name for it is "partial 16S ribosomal RNA". It matches the Rfam family "Bacterial small subunit ribosomal RNA", at positions 28 to 507 of the family's 1533-position model. The record is from RNAcentral.
GAUGAACGCUGGCGGCGUGCCUAAUACAUGCAAGUCGAGCGAACAGACGAGGAGCUUGCUCCUCUGACGUUAGCGGCGGACGGGUGAGUAACACGUGGAUAACCUACCUAUAAGACUGGGAUAACUUCGGGAAACCGGAGCUAAUACCGGAUAACAUUUUGAACCGCAUGGUUCAACAGUGAAAGACGGUCUUGCUGUCACUUAUAGAUGGAUCCGCGCCGCAUUAGCUAGUUGGUAAGGUAACGGCUUACCAAGGCAACGAUGCGUAGCCGACCUGAGAGGGUGAUCGGCCACACUGGAACUGAGACACGGUCCAGACUCCUACGGGAGGCAGCAGUAGGGAAUCUUCCGCAAUGGGCGAAAGCCUGACGGAGCAACGCCGCGUGAGUGAAGAAGGUCUUCGGAUCGUGAAACUCUGUUAUUAGGGAAGAACAAAUGUGUAAGUAACUAUGCACGUCUUGACGGUACCUAAUCAGAAAGCCACGGCUAACUACGUG